UCCGGUAUGGUGUAUCGGCUAGCAUCCGUCGCUUUCAUGAGUCAAUCGUGUCAGCUUCCGACGAGAGCCGGGUUCGAUUCCCGGUACCGGAA
Molecule: non-coding RNA, 92 nt
Organism: Alternaria ethzedia
Lineage: Eukaryota; Fungi; Ascomycota; Dothideomycetes; Pleosporales; Pleosporaceae
Source: the annotation of a RefSeq genome assembly